This 459-nucleotide ribosomal RNA is filed under the name uncultured bacterium. RNAcentral describes it as "partial 16S ribosomal RNA". It matches the Rfam family "Bacterial small subunit ribosomal RNA", at positions 338 to 795 of the family's 1533-position model. The record is from RNAcentral.
CCUACGGGCGGCAGCAGUGAGGAAUAUUGGUCAAUGGCCGGAAGGCUGAACCAGCCAUGCCGCGUGAAGGUCAGUGCCCUAUGGGUUGUAAACUUCUUUUAUUUGGGAAUAAAAUGUUCCACGUGUGGGAUUUUGUAUGUACCAUAUGCAUAAGGAUCGGCUAACUCCGUGUCAGCAGCCGCGGUAAUACGGAGGGUCCGAGCGUUAUCCGGAUUUAUUGGGUUUAAUGGGAGCGCAGGUGGAUUGUUAAGUCAGUUGUGAAAGUAUGCGGCUCAACCGUAAAAUUGCAGUUGAAACUGGCAUUCUUGAGUACAGUAGAGGUGGGCGGAAUUCGUGGUGUAGCGGUGAAAUGCUUAGAUAUCACGAAGAACUCCGAUUGCGAAGGCAGCUCACUGGACUGCAACUGACACUGAGGCUCGAAAGUGUGGGUAUCAAACAGGAUUAGAUACCCUUGUAGUC